RNAcentral lists this ribosomal RNA (631 nucleotides) under uncultured bacterium. RNAcentral's name for it is "bacterial SSU rRNA". It matches the Rfam family "Bacterial small subunit ribosomal RNA", at positions 555 to 1170 of the family's 1533-position model. The record is from RNAcentral.
UGGGCUUAAGGGCGCGUAGGCGGGCUGUCAAGUCUGGGGUGAAAUCCCGCGGCUCAACCGUGGAACUGCCUUAGAUACUGACGGCCUCGAGGGAGAUAGGGGCGAGCGGAACUGUGAGUGGAGCGGUGAAAUGCGUUGAUAUUCACAGGAACUCCGGUGGCGAAGGCGGCUCGCUGGAUCUUUUCUGACGCUGAGGCGCGAAAGCUAGGGGAGCAAACGGGAUUAGAUACCCCGGUAGUCCUAGCCCUAAACGUUGGGUACUGGGUAGUAGACUAGACAUGGGUUUACUGCCGCAGCAAAAGUGCUAAGUACCCCGCCUGGGGAGUAUGGUCGCAAGGCUGAAACUCAAAGGAAUUGACGGGGGCUCACACAAGCGGUGGAGCAUGUGGCUUAAUUCGAGGCUACGCGAAGAACCUUAUCCUGGACUUGACAUGUGCGAAAGCGUCAGGUGGUAGAAGCCGGAAACGGUAACGAACCUAGCAAUAGGGAGCCUGAUACAGGUGCUGCAUGGCUGUCGUCAGCUCGUAUCGUGAGAUGUCGGGUUAAGUCCCAUAACGAGCGAAACCCUUACCCUUAGUUGCAACCAUUUAGUUGGGCACUCUAGGGGGACUGCCGGUGUUAAACCGGAGGA